UUCGGAUUAAUGCUCCAUGAGACCACAAUACCGCAUGAUAUAGUGGUAAAAGCUCCGGCGGUUAAAGAUGGGCAUGCGUGCCAUUAGUUAGUUGGUGAGGUUACGGCUCACCAAGACAACGAUGGCUAGGGGGUCUGAGAGGAUGAUCCCCCACACUGGUACUGAGACACGGACCAGACUCCUACGGGAGGCAGCAGUGAGGAAUAUUGGUCAAUGGACGCAAGUCUGAACCAGCCAUGCCGCGUGCAGGAUGAAUGCCCUAUGGGUUGUAAACUGCUUUUCUACAAGAAGAAACUUCCUGAUGUAUCAGGAACUGACGGUAUUGUAGGAAUAAGCAUCGGCUAACUCCGUGCCAGCAGCCGCGGUAAUACGGAGGAUGCAAGCGUUAUCCGGAUUCAUUGGGUUUAAAGGGUGCGUAGGCGGGGUAGUAAGUCAGUGGUGAAAGCCUGCGGCUUAACCGUAGAAUUGCCAUUGAUACUGCUAUUCUUGAGUGCAGUUGAGGUAGGCGGAAUGUGUAAUGUAGCGGUGAAAUGCUUAGAUAUUACACAGAACACCGAUUGCGUAGGCAGCUUACUAAACUGUAACUGACGCUGAGGCACGAAAGCGUGGGGAGCGAACAGGAUUAGAUACCCUGGUAGUCCACGCUGUAAACUAUGAUCACUCGCUGUUGGCGAUACAUUGUCAGCGGCUGAGCGAAAGCAUUAAGUGAUCCACCUGGGGAGUACGGCCGCAAGGUUGAAACUCAAAGGAAUUGACGGGGGCCCGCACAAGCGGUGGAACAUGUGGUUUAAUUCGAUGAUACGCGAGGAACCUUACCUGGGCUUAAAUGCAGAACGACGUACCGGGAAACUGGUACUCCCUUCGGGGCGGACUGCAAGGUGCUGCAUGGUUGUCGUCAGCUCGUGCCGUGAGGUGUCGGGUUAAGUCCCAUAACGAGCGCAACCCUCAUUGUUAGUUGCCAGCGAGUAAUGUCGGGGACUCUAACGAAACUGCCGGUGUAAACCGUGAGGAAGGUGGGGAUGACGUCAAAUCAGCACGGCCCUUAUGUCCAGGGCUACACACGUGUUACAAUGGCCAGUACAAAGGGCAGCUACCACGCGAGUGGAUGCUAAUCUCUAAAGCUGGUCUCAGUUCGGAUUGAAGUCUGCAACUCGACUUCAUGAAGCUGGAAUCGCUAGUAA
This 1181-nucleotide ribosomal RNA is filed under the name uncultured organism. RNAcentral describes it as "bacterial SSU rRNA". It matches the Rfam family "Bacterial small subunit ribosomal RNA", at positions 157 to 1341 of the family's 1533-position model. The record is from RNAcentral.